GCGAAGAGGGACAAAUGGGAGAUGGAGAUGACGUUUUGCGUUUUUUGUAGCUUCGUGUUGUGUUCCGACUACUGUGCUGCCUAUAGACAGGGCCGGCCCAAGAUAUUUGGGAACAUUUAUCAUUGUCUUUAGAGCUGUUUUUGUGUGUAGAUUUAUCUCUAUUUUGCAGUGUUGCACCUCAGGCUAUUUUUUGCGCCUUUUUUAUUUUUUUAAAUUGUGUACUGGCCAGCUGUUGAGAGCAAAAAUUAACUGCCAAAGCUUUAAGAAGAAUCAAAUAUGAAGCUACCAGGAACCCACUGUCCUUCAAUGCUGUCCUAUUCCUGAAAUGCAACCCACCUGGAAUCGCCAGAAGUGCAAGGUGUUCAGUCCUCACAGACAUGGGCAAGUCAUAGAGUCUACUCUACUCUACGAGAGUUCGUUUUGUCUACUAUUGGAGCUGGAGGCGGGACUGGUGGAUCCGCGCACAGAAGGUGUGUGAUUACUGGGCAUCCUUCAGCACUUCCUCUGCAGCUGAAAGGCACUUCCUCUGAUGCUGGUGUUCCUAGCUUAACCUUGUGGGAGAGGAAAAGCAACAAUGACGCUCAUAUCCCAAGCUCAUAUCCAGUCCGCAUAUGCCGUCCUUAUGGAACUUCAGACAAAAAAAACAUCCUUGCAAAAGGGGGGUCACUCCUCCCUCUUCCCCAUAUAUACCUGAAUAGUAAUCCAAUGGAUCAGGAACCGGAUGAUGCGUCACUGAUGCGAAACUGCGCUGUCGUUCUGCUGAUUACGCUCAUGCUUCAUUAAAGUCCGAACAAGAUUUGUAUAUGGACACUGCCUCAAUAAAGUCCAA
This is a long non-coding RNA of Hyla sarda, 829 nucleotides long. RefSeq lists it as uncharacterized. The transcript has 5 exons. The record is from RefSeq and is a predicted model, not a curated record. Lineage: Eukaryota; Metazoa; Chordata; Amphibia; Anura; Hylidae.